RNAcentral lists this ribosomal RNA (850 nucleotides) under uncultured bacterium. RNAcentral's name for it is "bacterial SSU rRNA". It matches the Rfam family "Bacterial small subunit ribosomal RNA", at positions 51 to 887 of the family's 1533-position model. The record is from RNAcentral.
CUAUCUGCAGUCGAGCGAGAACCAGGGCUUCGGCCCUGGGGACAGCGGCGAACGGGUGAGUAACACGUGGGUAAUCAACCCCCGACACCGGGAUAGCCCAGGGAAACUUGGAUUAAUACCGGAUGCUCCGUCUGGCCUUCGGGCCGGUCGGAAAAGGGUAGCUUCGGCCUCCGGUCGGGGACGAGCCCGCGGCGGAUUAGCUUGUUGGUGAGGUAAAGGCUCACCAAGGCGACGAUCCGUAGCUGGUCUGAGAGGACGAUCAGCCACACUGGGACUGAGACACGGCCCAGACUCCUACGGGAGGCAGCAGUAGGGAAUCUUGCGCAAUGGGCGAAAGCCUGACGCAGCGACGCCGCGUGAGGGAAGAAGGCCUUCGGGUUGUAAACCUCUUUCAGGAGGGACGAAGCCACUCGGGUUAAUAGCCUAGAGGGUGACGGUACCUCCAGAAGAAGCCCCGGCUAACUACGUGCCAGCAGCCGCGGUAAUACGUAGGGGGCAAGCGUUGUCCGGAUUUAUUGGGCGUAAAGAGCGUGUAGGCGGCCAAGCAGGUCCGCUGUGAAAACUCGAGGCUCAACCUCGAGAGGUCGGUGGAAACCGUUUGGCUAGAGUCCGGAAGAGGAGAGUGGAAUUCCCGGUGUAGCGGUGAAAUGCGCAGAUAUCGGGAAGAACACCCGUGGCGAAGGCGGCUCUCUGGGACGGUACUGACGCUGAGACGCGAAAGCGUGGGGAGCGAACAGGAUUAGAUACCCUGGUAGUCCACGCCGUAAACGAUGGGCACUAGGUGUGGCGGGUAUCGACUCCCGCUGUGCCGAAGCUAACGCAUUAAGUGCCCCGCCUGGGGAGUACGGCC